UCCUCAGUAGUAUAGUGGUUAGUAUUUCCGCCUGUCAAACUGAUAGCACCGCGGGAGACCAGGGUUCAAUUCCCUGCUGGGGAG
Non-coding RNA from Wilcoxina mikolae CBS 423.85, 84 nucleotides. Lineage: Eukaryota; Fungi; Ascomycota; Pezizomycetes; Pezizales; Pyronemataceae. The record is from the annotation of a GenBank genome assembly.